This 518-nucleotide ribosomal RNA is filed under the name Hydrophis schistosus (beaked sea snake). RNAcentral describes it as "partial 16S ribosomal RNA". It matches the Rfam family "Bacterial large subunit ribosomal RNA", at positions 1814 to 2606 of the family's 2925-position model. Lineage: Eukaryota; Metazoa; Chordata; Lepidosauria; Squamata; Elapidae. The record is from RNAcentral.
CAUAACCUUUAGCUAAACCAGUAUUAAAGGCAACGCCUGCCCAGUGAAUAAUUAAACGGCCGCGGUACCCUAACCGUGCAAAGGUAGCGUAAUCAUUUGUCUAUUAAUUGUAGACCCGUAUGAAAGGCAUAAUGAGGGUUUAACUGUCUCUUUUAGUAAAUCAAUUAAACUGAUCUCCUAGUCCAAAAGCUAGGAUACCAACAUAAGACCAGAAGACCCUGUGAAACUUUAACUAAAAUAUUAAAACCUAUAAUAUCUACUUUAGGUUGGGGCGACCUUGGAAAAUAAAAGAACUUCCACAUACACAUUAUACAUAAUGUACCACCGGCCAACAAGCCUACAACGACCCAGCACAGCUGAUAAUUGAACCAAGCUACUCCAGGGAUAACAGCGCUAUCUUCUUCAAGAGCCCAUAUCAAAAAGAAGGUUUACGACCUCGAUGUUGGAUCAGGACAUCCUAAUGGUGCAACCGCUAUUAAGGGUUCGUUUGUUCAACGAUUAAUAGUCCUACGUGAUCU